CCCCUCCCCUCGCCGUGGUAACAUGGUUGGAUCGAAGUAGUGGCUAGGUUUUUUUUGUCUAAUCAAAGUAGUGGCUAACCCCUUGAACUGAUGGCUAUGCUUCCAGAGUGUGCCUUUGCCUUCAUCAUCGGCAACUUCGGAUGCUAGCUAUGCUUUGAGUGCCACAUCGAGCAAGAUACCUUUGCCUUAUUGACUGAAGUUCCAUAUAGUUUUUUUUUACUUUCCUCAUCGGCAACUUCCGAUGCUAGCUAUGCUUUGAGUGCCACAUCGAGCAAGAUACCCACAUCAAGUUUGCAACUUUAUCAUAGUCUUCUCAAGGUAACUAUUCAUAUUUCCUAUCCUUGCUUCAUAAUCAUAAACAAAAAGAAUUUUGUGUGUAUCCUUGCCUAAUAUGGAAAAUAGUAAAAAGACAGAGAAUAUUUGGAAAUAUUUCUUUUGACUUCGAAACAAUGCUACAUGCAUUCCGACUUUAAAACAACAGAGAAGAAUCUCACAUGUUUCCAUUUAGGGUCAUCUUUUCGAGGUGGAGAAUUUUGACAAGGUUAAGCUAAAUCAUGACCUAGGUAGGAUAUGUUGACGAUCAGGUUGCUAAGUCAAAUCACACACACAUGGCUUCAGAGUCUAGUGAAGAUGAGCAUGGUGCUUAGAUGUUCUGUUGGUAAUCCAAGCUGUAAAUCAAACAAGAGAUAAUGGUGCAUGAAGAUGCAUGAGUUGCUGGCAGUGGUGAGACAAUGAUAGGACCUUCAAAGGCACUCUUCAUGGACGAAAUAUCCACUGGGUUGGACAGCUCAAGUACCUUCCAGGGCACUGAGGAAGGCCUGAUACUGGAUGGAAAAGCUUUUGUUCCGGAUAGGCUAUGAACUGGAAGAUGCUCCACAGCAUCAGGUGGCUGCCGGCCACUAGCUACCAUUCCCAUCUCCAUGCCUUCCUCUCCAAGCACCAGAUCGAGCUCAAGCCUCCAGCUUGCUGCAAGCCACUUAACGUUAAUGGUGCCAUCUAAUUCCUUUUGGACUCUUUUGUACAACAGACCUCAUUAAUGGCUAACAUUUGUAUUUAAUCAUUAAGUGCUAUUUUGGAGUUGUACUCAACGAUGACCAAUGUUUUUAUGGCUAACAUGAUAACUUAUAUUAUUCUGAUUGUUUGGUUUUAGUCGAGAAUGAUUA
This is an RNA transcript of Panicum virgatum (switchgrass), 1163 nucleotides long. RefSeq lists it as uncharacterized. Lineage: Eukaryota; Viridiplantae; Streptophyta; Magnoliopsida; Poales; Poaceae. The record is from RefSeq and is a predicted model, not a curated record. The transcript has 4 exons.